Molecule: long non-coding RNA, 4924 nt
Filed under: Sus scrofa (pig)
Lineage: Eukaryota; Metazoa; Chordata; Mammalia; Artiodactyla; Suidae
Description: lncRNA (ENSSSCG00030001413.1)
Source: RNAcentral
UUCUAGGGCCGCUCCCACAGCAUAUGGAGGUUCCCAGGCUAGAGGUCCAAUCGGAGCUGUAGCCACCAGCCUACGCCAGAGCCAGAGCAACAAAGCAUCUGAGCCAGCAACGCAGGAUCUGAGCUGCGUCUGAGACCUACACCACAGCUCAUGGCAAUGCCAGAUCCUUAACCCACUGAGCAAGGCCAGGUAUCGAACCCGCAACCUAGUUGGAUUCGUUAACCACUGAGCCAUGACAGGAACUUCGGAAUAUUCUUUCUACCUCCCAAAUUUGUUGCAUGAUAGAAUAUUAAAGGCUCUAGGAAGAAUCCUGGAGUAGGAAAAAAACUGUUUAUUUUUGUUUAACCUGAAGUUUUCUGAAUCAUUCCAUGGUCCACAUGGUCUUCUCAGAGAAAAAUCUGGAGUUUCUUUUACAGGCUCUGAAAAAAUUUAUCAUUUUUUCAAACAUAAAGGCAAAGAUCAAGCCCACACUCCAAAUAAUACUUAAGUACCUACCAUGUGCCCAGCACUAUAGCUAUAUGGUUAAAUGAAGGCUUCAAGAAGCUUAAAAUGUAGUUAGAAAGACAGAUGAAACGUAUACUGGCAUAGAUCAUCAGGACCAAAACACAAUUUCUGACUUCUAGAAAUGUGCUCUUUCCACUACAGCAUAGCAUCCCAUUUUCAAAUGCCCAAAUCUACUUUUAUUCAGAAAGCUUAGUUCCUUUCCAUUGUUUAUAAUUUUAGAAUCAUCUGCCACCUGAAACCAUUUCCUGUUAAAGAAAAUGGAAAUAUGACUUGAGAUGUUCUUUCUACCCCAAAGCAGUUAGUAUGCCCACUGAGAACAGGGAACAUGUCUGCACCUCCCUUUAUUUUCUGAAAUCUAGAUGGGCACAGGGGCUUUGCAGAGGAAAGGCACUACUGAAUUUACUUAUAGUAUGUACACUACUGUGAAAACAAAAAUAUGCCUUUUUAUUAAAAUACACCAUAGGAGAAGUUCCCACUGUGGCACAGUGGGUUAAGAAUCUGACUACAGCAGCUCGGGUUGCUACAGAAGUGCAGGUUCCAUCUCUGUUUCCAGGAACUUCCACAUGCUGUGGGUGCAGCCAUAAAAAUGAAAGAAAAAUAAAGAUAAAAAAUUUUAAAAAUAAACAUAAAAAAUAAAAUAAAAUGUAGGACAUUUAAGUCACACAUAACAUUUACAGCUUUUCAAAUUAACUUUUUAUUUAUUUAUUUAUUUUGUCUUUUUAUGGCUGUACCCACAGCAUAUGGAGGUUCCCAGGCUAGCAGUCCAAUCAGAGCUACAGCUGGCAGCCUACACCACAGCCACAGCAACGCUGGAUUCGAGCUGCAUCUUCAACCUACACCACAGCUUACAGCAAUGUCUGAUCCUUAACCCACGGAGCAAGGCCAGGGAUCGAACCUGCAUCUUCAUGGAUACUAGUCAGAUUCAUUUCCACUGAGCCACAGUGGGAACUGCUGCAGCUUUGUAAAAAGUCACAACAUAAAAAUGAUAGAAAAAUAAUUAGGCAAGUACAGUUCACAAACAUACCACCUUAUUCAAAUCGUGGUUGUAUAUACAUAAGCACACAAAGUUAUUUGAGUAUUCUUUAAUGUAUUUUAAAGAACUGAGUAAUCCAACUGAAGUGGCUCUGGUUGCUGCAGAGGUACAAGUUCCAUCCCUGGCUCAGUGCAGUGAGUUAAAGGAUCUGGCAUUGCUGCAGCUGUGGCGUAGGUUGCAUCUGUGGUUUAGAUUCAAUACCUGGCCUGGGAACUUCUACGAACCACAGGUGCAGCCAUAAAAUAAAAAUUAAAAAACGCAAAUAAAGAUACUGAGGUAUAUAGCUCUAUAACUCAAGGGGGAAAACAGUGUGGGUCAGAAUUCAAGGAGGAAAAAUGCACAGAGUAGGAACAGUCAGGAUAAUGAAUCAGUAGUGGGCCCAGGGAGGGAUUCCCAGGGUUAGGAGGUGCUACCAGGAAAACAGACAGGAUGGGUUUUCAUUCCUCACUCAUAGAAAACUCCAAAAUUCCUUCAAUUACCCUUGCCCUCAUGUCUCUUAUUUACAAUCCUAUGACUUCAAUGAGAAAAAAAAAUUCACAAGUAGAAACUAACACAAACUUUUGAUUUAAAUCAACUAUUGUGAGGCUAUGUUUAUAUUAAACUAAAAUGGACAUAUGGUGAUCACAUAUAAUGACAAAUUAUAUAUGUUCCAUUCAUAGGAUUAAAAAAUCUGAAUAAAUAUACAGAAUUUGAAAUACUUUAAUUAUUUUUCAUUUAUUGAGAAUUUAUUACAUUUAAGAAACUAAGCUGACUGCUGAGUAAACUAAAAAACUACACAAUGAUAUAAAUCAAAUGAAAGCCUGGCCCAAAUAUUUUUUGAAUUUUAAACACUGGCUUAGGCUAUUAUUAUAAAAAAUAAAUAAUGAAGAAAAUGUUUCUUUCUAGUGUUUAAUCAACAGCCUAGCUCUAAAAUUACCAACUUACAUGGUAUAUAAAUUAUUCAAGUUAAUAACUCUUUUGACCUUAUAACAACUACCUUACCACUAUAAUAAACAAACACAAAAAGUCAUUUUUUACAAGACUGAACAUCAUGGAACUUAAGCUCCAAGAUUCUUUAUAAACAACUAUUGAAAUAAUUGAAGGUAGUGUUAUAACUAAAGUGGUAUUAAGCAACAGAAAAAGAAAAUGAAAAACUAAAGAAAAUUGGUCUGUAUUUCACACACGAAACACACAGACCACUGACAACACAUAACAUCUGAAUGUUCUACAACUUUAUAGCCUACUAACUUAAAUGAAUGUUACAAUUUGAAAAUUAGAAUACGAUUUAAAUAUAGCUGUAGAAAAACAUGGAACUAAACACACAUACCUCUCACACAAACAAGAAAUUGAAAUAAUUUUGCUACAUAAAUUCUCAAUAUGCAAAUCCUACAGGCAACUGUGAAAUCAAUUAAAGUUAAGUCUGACUCUUUAAGUCUGUUUAAAAGGAGUUAGGCAGGGGUGGGGUGGGGUGGGGGGAAAUCCAUACCUUUAAAUUGACUAAGAGUAUCAGUCAGCUAUCUAACAGAACUGGAGGGUGAAAGAGACAAGCCAUAGGCACAAGUGGUGUGACUGACCUUUAUACAUAUGUGAAAAUAUACCCAACCAGUGAUAUAAUAUCUAUUAUGAACCCCACUAGGGCAUCAAACUUACCUCUGUACAAUGAGUUUUGAUCUGUCGCAAAACAGAAAUAAUCAUUCGGGUCCACAAAUUUUAAAUGCGGUUAAAUUAAAUGAGACAUGGGAUUUUUGUGUGUGUGUUUUGUGGGAUUUUCCCCCCCCAUUUAGAAGGUUAAAAUCUGAUCCAGCAUAAAAAGCUGUGACUUUUACUUGGGUAGCCCUUGUUGACUAAGUGUUAAAAAAAAAAAAAAAAAAAAAAGACAUUUGCCGUUAUAACAGGAUAAAAACUAACACCUCAAAGUGUUACCUACUCAGGCCUUUUAACAAAUUUGUUAACACUAUUAGUUAUAUUACUCCACCUUCUUCUUAGUGUGAACUGGUAUCAAUUAUUUAGCCAAUUUUAUAAUGUUAUUAAAAUACCUGCUGAUUAAACAUGAACCAAGUGUCACUUAAAAGAAAUGUAAAAUAAGUAGUAUAACUGAACUACAAUACUCCAAAAAUAUCUGAAGUUAUCUUGGGAAACAAGCUAUUUCAAAAUUCAUAAAAAAGUUUUUCUAGAAUUAAAAUAUUACAUGGACUUAUUUAUUUUUGUAACAGCUGUUUUAAGGUGUAUAUUUGGUCCUGCAUUACAGAAUUAUUUUUAUAGGUUUGUUAAAAUAUUUUUUUAAAAAAGAGAAAACAAACUUUAUUAACAAAUGAAGGUGACAUUUUUGACAACAAAAUAAAACCUAAACAUGUAACAUACUGAAUCACUGACAGUACAUAUUUUUUAAUUUAUGGUAUGCAAUAUAACCAUUGACAAAUUCUGUCAAAAAAAUCUAAAAAUUUGACGAAACUAUCACCUUCAGUUUCCCCAAUUAAUAACCCCUUAAAAAAAAAAAAAACAGAAAAUAAGCAAAUUCAAACAUAUACAAAUAACUACCACUGUAUUGUUUAUCUCUUACCCAGCAAGGUAAGAAACAACCUUUUAAUACUUUAAUUUUGUGAGUAUUAAACAACUAGUGUGAAAAACAAGCUGCAUGUAAACUAUUUCUACUGCCUGAGCUUCAAUGACUAGCUGAGGCAACCUGUUAUAGGAGGUGUUAAUUGGCAAUAGGAGUACAAGUCAGAAGCAUGUUCCCCAUCGUCCUAACCCAGCAAGGCUAGGUCAUUAAAGUGGAAAUGAAUUCUUUCAUGUCGACUUAACCCUUUCAAUGCAUGCUUUCAGCUGUUUUCUCUCAAUUAAUUUUAAAAACUUGUUACUUUUUAGAGUUAAAAAAAAAAUGUUCCAAAAAAAAAAAAAAAAAGAUUCUUUGGCUGACAGUUCCAAUGACUACAUUAUUCAGAAGAGAACAGAGCAAGUUAAUUGCAUUGUAAUAUUGCAACUCUCCCCUCUGAAAAACAUAUAAACUAACUGUAUUUGCUUAUUUUAACACUGAAAAAAGAUACAGGAUACAGCAUUUAAAAAUAGCCCAGAACCAUUUAGUCACAUAGGGUUUUUAUUUACAUUUCUAUUUAAGAAUGCAAGGACUAUCUCAUGAUGAUAACUUAAUCACCUUAACCUUGGGAUAGAAGAAUAUUAAUUUUUUUAUUUCCACAAUGUCCAUACAAGAAUCCCCAUUAUGAAAAUGUUUUGAAACAUAUAUGAGUUAAACACCUUUCUAAUUAAGUUUCAUUAUUCUGAUAAGGUGCACAGUCACAGCAUAUCCUGAUGACUGGUUGCCAAAAAGCCAAAAUUCCUUUUAUGGCAUGAUCUCAGAGGUUUCCAGAUGGCACAUUAAUUCUUAAAAAAAAAAAAAAAAGACAAAAAGAG